ACUGCCCUGAACGCAUUGAUCUCGCCUGAUUUUUGGGAGCUAAGAAUGGUUAGGCCUGGUUAAUACUUGGAUGGGAGACCAUUGUGGAAUACCCGGGG
Molecule: ribosomal RNA, 98 nt
Filed under: Pogona vitticeps (central bearded dragon)
Lineage: Eukaryota; Metazoa; Chordata; Lepidosauria; Squamata; Agamidae
Source: RNAcentral